Molecule: ribosomal RNA, 508 nt
Filed under: uncultured bacterium
Lineage: Bacteria
Description: bacterial SSU rRNA
Rfam family: Bacterial small subunit ribosomal RNA
Source: RNAcentral
GACGAACGCUGGCGGCGUGGAUUAGGCAUGCAAGUCGAACGGUAUCAUCCUUUCGGGGGUGAGAGAGUGGCGAACUGGUGAGUAACACGUAGGUUAUCUACCCUCAAGACGGGGACAACCCAGGGAAACUUGGGCUAAUACCGGAUGUGAGCAACUUUUUAGUUGUUUGAAAGGUGGCGUAAGCUGUCGCUUGGGGAUGAGCCUGCGUCCUAUUAGUUAGUUGGUGAGGUAACGGCUCACCUAGGCAAUGAUAGGUAGGCGGCCUUAACGGGUGGUCGCCCACACUGGGAUUGAGAUACGGCCCAGACUCCUACGGGAGGCAGCAGUCGAGAAUAGUCUACAAUGGUCGGAAGACUGAUAGUGCGACGCCGCGUGAACGAUGAAUCCCUUCGGGGUGUAAAGUUCUUUUAUAUGUGAGCAGUGCUUCUUAUAUUAACAGUAUGGGGAAGAGAUAUUAGCAUAUGAAUAAGCAACGGCUAACUCCGUGCCAGCAGCCGCGGUAAGCUCG